This is a long non-coding RNA of Ahaetulla prasina, 1166 nucleotides long. RefSeq lists it as uncharacterized. Lineage: Eukaryota; Metazoa; Chordata; Lepidosauria; Squamata; Colubridae. The transcript is spliced from 4 exons. The record is from RefSeq and is a predicted model, not a curated record.
CACAGAUCCACUCAGCAAUCACUCAGCAGAGAGACAUUUGGAACAAUGGCAUGAGAACAUAGGAGGAACAGCCUGGUUUAGUCAUAGGAUUGAGAAGAUAUUUGUAUAUGGCUCAGAAAAAUUUCCUGGAAUUAUUCAAAGCCUGCAAAGAUGGGAAUUUGUUCAGAGAUGACUCCCCCACUGUUUUCCCUCAGAUGGCCAAAAGUCCUACCAGCUGACCAUGAGAAAGGAAAAAAUAGCUGAAAGUUAGAAUCCUUGGAAGCCUUCUCUUGCAAUAUUUUCAUGGUCAAUAAAAAUACAGGAUGGAAAAUAACCUGGAAGAGGAAAUGGCAAAGACACUCCUGAGAGUGAUUAGGGAGGAUGGGUGAUCAGCAAAAGUGCCUUAGUGACAGGACAGACCAGGAAAAUCCUAGGAGCCAAGAAGUAACUCAGGAUGGAGUUUUUGCCAAUAGUUGUUACCGGAUGGCCUACAGAACAAUUUCAGAGAUUGGGUUUACUAUUUUGAAACAGGGAAUGGAAAAAAGAACUGACUCUCUCUCAAAGGAUGAGUUUUUAUGACAAUUAAUGGCAAAUGGAAAGGAUGGGAAGAAAGAAGAAACAUCUAAAAUAUAGAUUCCUGCUCUCCUACAAGAUAACCAUGUUUGACAGAUUAAAAAGAAAGUUCCCUGUUCUACUGCCGUCCUUUCUAACUAGGAAAAUGUGAAAUUCAGUAAAAGGAAGAUUCUUUGCCUGAAGCACUGACUGCUGAAUAUCGCAACUGGCCCACAGAUCAUCUCAGACUGAACUUUCAUUAAAUGUUUAUUUGUUUCUAAUAAAAUUUUAUGGUAAAUUUUAUUAAAGUUGACAAUUGAAAAAUUAAUGCAAACUGAAAAAACUAAAAGAAACAAAAGAAAAAAUAAAGUACAAAAAGGAAAGAAAAAUAGAAAAAAAAGUAAAAGAAGCAGUGAUGGAAUUCAUUUUUUUUACUACCUGUUAUGUGGUAGUGCCUUGGUGGGCAUGGUUGGCUUGGUGGGCGUGGCAGGGAAAGGAUACUGCAAAAUCCCCAUUCCCUCUCCACUCAUGGGGGAAGGUUAUUGCAAAAUCUCCAUUCCCACCCCACUUUGGGGCCAGCCAGAGAUGGUAUUUGCUGAUUCUCCAAACUACUCAAAAUUUCUGCUACUGGUUCU